Small nuclear RNA from Marmota marmota marmota (Alpine marmot), 104 nucleotides. The record is from Ensembl. Lineage: Eukaryota; Metazoa; Chordata; Mammalia; Rodentia; Sciuridae.
UUGCUUUGGCAGCAUACAUACUAAAAUUGGAACAACACAGAGAAGACUAGCAAUGGUUGCUGUGCAAGAAUAACAUACAAAUUUAUUAAACAUUCCAUAUUUUU